GUCUUUCCCCAUGGUAAUUGGAGCUGCAGUUUAAGUUUCCUGUCUUUAUUUCCUCUUUAGUUUUCGCUGUUCAUAUUUCUUAUUUUCUGCUAUCAUUUGAAUCUUCCUACAACUAGUAAUACCAUUUGCAUAUAUUGAUUUUUCCUUUUCAUUGUGAAUUGGGAUUUUGCAUUGCAAGAUUAUUCAACUGAGUUUAUCUAUCCUAGGCUAUUAAGCAAAUUUUAGAGUAAUUUUUCAGAUUUUUGAGGACCCAUUACCUCACUGGAAGCGAAUGAUAAUCAAUUUAGUUUCUUUACAUUAACAACUGCAGACUUGUAGUUAAUAUGACUUUUUUAAUGAAGCAUCUGUAAAAUUUUGAAGAUUUAGGCAAUCUUGUUGCUUAAUUUGUAAUUUCCUUUUUCCUUUUCAAUCACAUUUCAUUUCACAUUGUUAGUUAAUUUCUAAGAUAUACUUAUUAUGUUACCUAUCAAAAGAACCCAAUAUUAUAAACUUCAAUGAUAUUUAUGACUUACAUAUUGUGGAAAUGAAGAGUUUCACUAUGAUGUUUACUGGUAGUACAUAGCAUGAAUGGUUUCAACUCGAAUUCCUCCUUUCUUUUUUUCUGUUGAUGUUGUCUGUAAACUGUUAGUCGCAUAACUUUUCUGUUUUUCAUUAAGUGUUAACUUCAUCAGCACAUGUAAAGUUAUAUGUUGCACAUGUUCAAAACACCUUAACUGGUCUUCCCUCAACCUUUUUCCAUUAGUGCUACAUGCAUUACAUGAAAGCAUAUAAUUUCCAUUCAUGAUGCCUUCAGUUCAGCCAUGCUCAUCUUUAAUCUAUAUAUGUUGUUUCUUUAUUGCCUAGUGUUCUUUGAAGUAGAGCUUAUCACCAUCUCAUAAAAUUUUUACUGGAACUUGAUGCACAUUAUGCAGUGGCGUAACACAUCAGGAGUGGUCCUCUAUUUCCUCUGACUUGCUCUAAUUCUAUAGUGUUGGCUUUAUCCAGCAAAAGUAAAUAUUAAUUCAUAUUUCCUUUUCGAUAGUAGCGUAAGAUUGCUUUUGACUUCAAAAUAAAACAGCUUUUAUUUGUAUCCCUUUCAAAGUUAUGGUAUCCUUGUGCAAGUAAUGGUAUCCUUGUGCAAGAUAUGAAAUUGUUGAAAACAUUGCAUACAACACUCCUUUCAACAGGCAUUGUGUUAAGAAGAUUGAAGAAAAUGAGAUCAUGCAUACAACACUCCUUAUAGUUAUAUUUUUCCUGGACUUUUGCAAGGUUUGGGUUUGGCAUAUUUUAGCUGUUAUGCUCUUGCUCAUCUGAGCUCUAUCUGUUGUACAUAUUUUGUUAGAUGUUCUACAUAGGUGUGUAAAGAAGAUACUGAUAUAUACAGUUAGAAAUACAUCUCAUUUUAUUGAAUCUGAAAUAGAUUCAUUUAGAUAAUCAGUGCUACAGCAGUGAUUGUUGAGGCAGAUUCAUCCAUACUCCAUUCGGCCGUUACAAACUCAGCAAAAUAUCAGUUGGGAGAUUGAAGCAAUCAGGGCCUUGUUUCCUUUAUUUUCCCCUGCUUUUCUUCUCGAUUGUUAAUAGGAAGGCAAAUAGAGUGGCUGACUGUGUUGCUAAGUAUAGCCUUAAUGGGCAGCUUUCUUGUGAUUGGCUGGCCUCAGUUCCUUCGGAACUGGAGUUUCUGUUAUUCUCUGAUGCCUUUUCAGCAGUUUAAUGCAAUGUUUUUGCAGU
Molecule: unclassified non-coding RNA, 1707 nt
Filed under: Hevea brasiliensis (rubber tree)
Lineage: Eukaryota; Viridiplantae; Streptophyta; Magnoliopsida; Malpighiales; Euphorbiaceae
Source: RNAcentral